CGUCAUAGAGGGUGAGAAUCCAGUAUGUGAUCGGUCGCUUGCGCCCAUGUGAAGCUCUUUCGACGAGUCGAGUUGUUUGGGAAUGCAGCUCCAAAUGGGUGGUAUAUUUCAUCUAAAGCUAAAUAUUGGCCAGAGACCGAUAGCGCACAAGUAGAGUGAUCGAAAGAUGAAAAGCACUUUGGAAAGAGAGUUAAACAGUACGUGAAAUUGUUGAAAGGGAAGCGCUUGCAACCAGACUUGCGUGUUGUUGAUCAUCCGGGGUUCUCCCCGGUGCACUCGACCUCACUCAGGCCAGCAUCGGUUUCGGUGGUUGGAUAAAGGCCUUGGGAAUGUAGCUCCUCUCGGGGAGUGUUAUAGCCCUCGGUGCAAUGCAGCCUACCGGGACCGAGGACCGCGCUUCGGCUAGGAUGCUGGCGUAAUGGUUGUAAGCGACCCGUCUUGAAACACGGACCAAGGAGUCUAACAUCUAUGCGAGUGUUUGGGUGUCAAACCCAUACGCGUAAUGAAAGUGAACGGAGGUGAGAACCCUUAAGGGUGCAUCAUCGACCGAUCCUGAUGUCUUCGGAUGGAUUUGAGUAAGAGCAUAGCUGUUGGGACCCGAAAGAUGGUGAACUAUGCCUGAAUAGGGUGAAGCCAGAGGAAACUCUGGUGGAGGCUCGCAGCGGUUCUGAC
RNAcentral lists this ribosomal RNA (672 nucleotides) under Neofabraea sp. PWC-2015. RNAcentral's name for it is "eukaryotic LSU rRNA". It matches the Rfam family "Eukaryotic large subunit ribosomal RNA", at positions 201 to 890 of the family's 3401-position model. The record is from RNAcentral. Lineage: Eukaryota; Fungi; Ascomycota; Leotiomycetes; Helotiales; Dermateaceae.